RNAcentral lists this unclassified non-coding RNA (84 nucleotides) under Pseudomonas migulae. Lineage: Bacteria; Pseudomonadati; Pseudomonadota; Gammaproteobacteria; Pseudomonadales; Pseudomonadaceae. The record is from RNAcentral.
UGUAGGAGCCGGCUUGCUGGCGAUAGGUCCCUUGAACCCUGCAUCGAUUUCAAGGACGCCAUCGCCAGCAAGCCGGCUCCUACA